Molecule: ribosomal RNA, 506 nt
Filed under: uncultured bacterium
Lineage: Bacteria
Description: partial 16S ribosomal RNA
Rfam family: Bacterial small subunit ribosomal RNA
Source: RNAcentral
AUUGAACGCUGGCGGCAGGCCUAACACAUGCAAGUCGAACGGUAACAGGAAGCAGCUUGCUGCUUCGCUGAUGAGUGGCGGACGGGUGAGUAAUGUCUGGGAAACUGCCUGAUGGAGGGGGAUAACUACUGGAAACGGUAGCUAAUACCGCAUAACGUCGCAAGACCAAAGAGGGGGACCUUCGGGCCUCUUGCCAUCGGAUGUGCCCAGAUGGGAUUAGCUAGUAGGUGGGGUAACGGCUCACCUAGGCGACGAUCCCUAGCUGGUCUGAGAGGAUGACCAGCCACACUGGAACUGAGACACGGUCCAGACUCCUACGGGAGGCAGCAGUGGGGAAUAUUGCACAAUGGGCGCAAGCCUGAUGCAGCCAUGCCGCGUGUAUGAAGGAGGCCUUCGGGUUGUAAAGUACUUUCAGCGGGGAGGAAGGCGAUAAGGUUAAUAACCUUGUCGAUUGACGUUACCCGCAGAAGAAGCACCGGCUAACUCCGUGCCAGCAGCCGCGGUAA